This 410-nucleotide long non-coding RNA is filed under the name Elaeis guineensis (African oil palm). Its description in RNAcentral is "long non-coding RNA (EGUI_LNC071675)". The record is from RNAcentral. Lineage: Eukaryota; Viridiplantae; Streptophyta; Magnoliopsida; Arecales; Arecaceae.
UCUAUAGUUUUAGGUUCAAGAUGAGAGACAAAAGCACAAUGAUUGAAUGCAUCUUUAAGAGAAGAACGAGUUCUUACCCCAUGUGUAGGAUCAUUAAUGAUUAGUUUCUUGGGGUGAUUGUGAUCAUACCUCCAUUCUUUGGGUAGAUUAUUUGUAUGUUGAGGUUGUUCUUGUCGUUCUUCACCUUCCUCAUCUUGUUUGUCUUCAUGUUCUUCAUCAUCUUGAAUUGUUGAAUCUUUUAGAGUGAUCUCCUUCAUCCCUUCUAUAAGAGGAUCUGCAUCAUCAAAACCUUCAUUCUUCCUUGAAGGAAGAUCGUUAGUUUCAUCAAAGACAACAUGUAUAGACUCCUCUACUACUAAGGUUCUUUUGUUAAAAGCUCUAAAGGCUUUAUUGGAAGAGGAGUAACCAAG